This 486-nucleotide ribosomal RNA is filed under the name uncultured bacterium. Its description in RNAcentral is "bacterial SSU rRNA". It matches the Rfam family "Bacterial small subunit ribosomal RNA", at positions 28 to 524 of the family's 1533-position model. The record is from RNAcentral.
GAUUAACGCUGGCGGCGUGCCUGACACAUGCAAGUCGAACGAGUUCUAGUUGCCCGCAAGGGUGACUAGCGCUAGUGGCGGACGGGUGAGUAACACGUGGGCAACCUGCCUGAGAGCGCGGAAUAACCCUGCGAAAGCAGAGCUAAUACCGCAUGUGGUUGUUGGUUGGCAUCUUCUAACAACUAAAGUCGCAAGACGCUCUCAGAUGGGCCCGCGGCCUAUUAGCUAGUUGGUGAGGUAACGGCCACCAAGGCUCUGAUGGGUAGCUGGUCUGAGAGGACGGACAGCCACACUGGGACUGAGACACGGCCCAGACUCCUACGGGAGGCAGCAGUGAGGAAUUUUCCGCAAUGGGCGAAAGCCUGACGGAGCAACGCCGCGUGAGGGAUGAAGUCUCUAGGGAUGUAAACCUCUGUUGGGAGGGACGAAAUUUGACGGUACCUCCUGAGGAAGCCCGGCUAACUACGUGCCAGCCGCCGCGGUAAU